UGGGGAAUAUUGCGCAAUGGGGGCAACCCUGACGCAGCAACGCCGCGUGCGGGACGACGGCCCUCGGGUUGUAAACCGCUUUCAGCAGGGAAGACAUCGACGGUACCUGCAGAAGAAGCCCCGGCUAACUACGUGCCAGCAGCCGCGGUAACACGUAGGGGGCGAGCGUUAUCCGGAUUCAUUGGGCGUAAAGCGCGCGCAGGCGGCUCGCCAAGCGGGACCUCUAACCCCGGGGCUCAACCCCGGGCCGGGUCCCGGACUGGCGGGCUCGCUUCAGGUAGGGGCAGGCGGAAUUCCCGGUGUAGCGGUGGAAUGCGCAGAUAUCGGGAGGAACACCGACGGCGAAGGCAGCCUGCUGGGCCUCGAAGGACGCUGAGGCGCGAAAGCCGGGGGAGCGAACAGG
RNAcentral lists this ribosomal RNA (403 nucleotides) under uncultured prokaryote. Its description in RNAcentral is "bacterial SSU rRNA". It matches the Rfam family "Bacterial small subunit ribosomal RNA", at positions 355 to 776 of the family's 1533-position model. The record is from RNAcentral. RNAcentral also lists the same sequence under 1 other name.